RNAcentral lists this ribosomal RNA (497 nucleotides) under uncultured bacterium. RNAcentral's name for it is "partial 16S ribosomal RNA". It matches the Rfam family "Bacterial small subunit ribosomal RNA", at positions 28 to 507 of the family's 1533-position model. The record is from RNAcentral.
GACGAACGCUGGCGGCGUGCUUAACACAUGCAAGUCGAACGGACAGGCCAGGCGUUUGUGGGUCGCUCGAGUGGCGCAGGGGGGAGUGACACGCGAGUAACAUGCCCUUGACUUUGUGGGAAAAUUACGGAACAGGGGCUCAAAUCCCAGAUAAUAUUUUGAUCCGCGGUGGUGAUUGGUGAGAGACGGUCUUGGUGUAUCUACUAGCGGCUUCCGCGCUGCAUUAGCUAGUUGGUAAGGUAACGGCUUACCAAGGGAACGAUGCGUAGCCGACCUGAGAGGGUGAUCGGCCACACUGGAACUGAGACACGGUCCAGACUCCUACGGGAGGCAGCAGUAGGGAAUCUUCCGCAAUGGGCGAAAGCCUGACGGAGCAACGCCGCGUGAGUGAUGAAGGUCUUCGGAUCGUAAAACUCUGUUAUUAGGGAAGAACAAAUGUGUAAGUAACUAUGCACGUCUUGACGGUACCUAAUCAGAAAGCCACGGCUAACUACGUG